Long non-coding RNA from Octopus sinensis (East Asian common octopus), 487 nucleotides. RefSeq lists it as uncharacterized. NCBI's taxonomy places the organism in Eukaryota, Metazoa, Mollusca, Cephalopoda, Octopoda, Octopodidae. The transcript is spliced from 2 exons. The record is from RefSeq and is a predicted model, not a curated record.
GCUAGUAAGUACGUAGACCUGUUAGAUCGUACGGCAGCAGAGAACACGUGGACGUUGUGAGUGACUUCUUCCAGAACACAGACGUUAUGUCGGCAGGCGAAGCACGUAGAAGUUAGCGAUCCUUUCCAGAUAGACAGGCAUUGGCACCAAAGAAUUUUAUACAGCGGAUACAUCCUCAAUAAUUCUUGUUUUAAGGCUCAAGGAAUAUAUUCAACAGAACAGAUGUGACAUUCCGUAUAUAAAUCUAAUGCAAAUUACAGGGAAAAAUUUAAUUUUUUUCUGAACACAUUCACAGCAAUAAUUCUUCUGUUGAUUGUCUGGAAUGUGGACAAGAUGACUUUACAUUUGAAUUAAAUUGAGACAAAGUUAAAAAGGAGUUUGUACAUCAAUCUACAUAUUGCUAACGACCACAGUAGAAGAAAUAUUUAACAGGAAUAAAAUAUAGAAAUCUAAAUAAGAUUAACACCUCAGUAGAGCAUGAGAAAAG